This 261-nucleotide ribosomal RNA is filed under the name uncultured bacterium. Its description in RNAcentral is "partial 16S ribosomal RNA". The stretch from base 1 to 209 matches the Rfam family "Bacterial small subunit ribosomal RNA", at positions 118 to 311 of the family's 1533-position model. The record is from RNAcentral.
UGGGUAACCUGCCUCAAAGAGGGGAAUAGCCUCCCGAAAGGGAGAUUAAUACCGCAUAAUAUGUUUAAGUCGCAUGACUUUAACAUCAAAGGAUUUUCUUUUAAGAAAUUCCACUUUGAGAUGGACCCGCGGCGCAUUAGCUAGUUGGUGAGGUAACGGCUCACCAAGGCAACGAUGCGUAGCCGACCUGAGAGGGUNAUCCGGGCCACAUUGGAAACCUGAACGACCGACCGGGUCCCGGACCUCCGUAACGGGGAGCGA